GAUGAACGCUGGCGGCGUGCCUAAUACAUGCAAGUCGAGCGAACGGACGAGAAGCUUGCUUCUCUGAUGUUAGCGGCGGACGGGUGAGUAACACGUGGAUAGCCUACCUAUAAGACUGGGAUAACUUCGGGAAACCGGAGCUAAUACCGGAUAAUAUUUUGAACCGCAUGGUUCAAAAGUGAAAGACGGUCUUGCUGUCACUUAUAGAUGGAUCCGCGCUGCAUUAGCUAGUUGGUAAGGUAACGGCUUACCAAGGCAACGAUGCAUAGCCGACCUGAGAGGGUGAUCGGCCACACUGGAACUGAGACACGGUCCAGACUCCUACGGGAGGCAGCAGUAGGGAAUCUUCCGCAAUGGGCGAAAGCCUGACGGAGCAACGCCGCGUGAGUGAUGAAGGUCUUCGGAUCGUAAAACUCUGUUAUUAGGGAAGAACAUAUGUGUAAGUAACUGUGCACAUCUUGACGGUACCUAAUCAGGAAGCCACGGCUAACUACGUG
This 497-nucleotide ribosomal RNA is filed under the name uncultured bacterium. Its description in RNAcentral is "partial 16S ribosomal RNA". It matches the Rfam family "Bacterial small subunit ribosomal RNA", at positions 28 to 507 of the family's 1533-position model. The record is from RNAcentral.